AUGAACGCUGGCGGCGUGCCUAAUACAUGCAAGUCGAGCGCACGGACGAGAAGCUUGCUUCUCUGAUGUUAGCGGCGGACGGGUGAGUAACACGUGGAUAACCUACCUAUAAGACUGGGAUAACUUCGGGAAACCGUAGCUAAUACCGGAUAAUAUUUUGAACCGCAUGGUUCAAAAGUGAAAGACGGUCUUGCUGUCACUUAUAGAUGGAUCCGCGCUGCAUUAGCUAGUUGGUAAGGUAACGGCUUACCAAGGCAACGAUGCAUAGCCGACCUGAGAGGGUGAUCGGCCACACUGGAACUGAGACACGGUCCAGACUCCUACGGGAGGCAGCAGUAGGGAAUCUUCCGCAAUGGGCGAAAGCCUGACGGAGCAACGCCGCGUGAGUGAUGAAGGUCUUCGGAUCGUAAAACUCUGUUAUUAGGGAAGAACAUAUGUGUAAGUAACUGUGCACAUCUUGACGGUACCUAAUCAGAAAGCCACGGCCAACUACGUG
This 496-nucleotide ribosomal RNA is filed under the name uncultured bacterium. RNAcentral describes it as "partial 16S ribosomal RNA". It matches the Rfam family "Bacterial small subunit ribosomal RNA", at positions 29 to 507 of the family's 1533-position model. The record is from RNAcentral.